This 418-nucleotide non-coding RNA is filed under the name Perkinsus marinus ATCC 50983. RNAcentral describes it as "Eukaryotic large subunit ribosomal RNA". It matches the Rfam family "Eukaryotic large subunit ribosomal RNA", at positions 714 to 1120 of the family's 3401-position model. Lineage: Eukaryota; Perkinsozoa; Perkinsida; Perkinsidae. The record is from Rfam by way of RNAcentral.
AAAAAAUAAAUGUAAGGCCAGUAAGUACCUGUUAUAAUGAAAGUGAGGCCGUAUGGCCAUGUUGGGGUCACCAACAACCGACCUCGAUCUUCGGUGAAAGGUUUGACUACGAGCAAUGCUCAUUGAGCAUAUCCGUUAGGACCCAAAAGAUGGUGAACUAUGCCCGAGCAGGGUGAAGCCAGGGGAAACUCUGAUGGAGGCUCGUAGCGAUACUGACGUGCAAAUCAUUCAUCAGACUUGGGUAUAGGGGCGAAAGACUAAUCGAACCAUCUAGUAGCUGGUUCCCUCCGAAGUUUCACCAAUAACGUUCCAGACUCAGAAGUAUGAAAUCGUUUUUCCUCGAAAAGACCUACCUUUUGUGCGGACUGUCCACGUAUGCAGAUUUCGUCAAUUACGGAAACUGCACGCGUGAGCAUUG